GGGGGCAUAGCCAAAGUAGGAGAGUACCUGCCUAGCAAGCACAAAGCCUUGGAUUCAAACUCCAAUAUCCCCA
This 73-nucleotide transfer RNA is filed under the name Dipodomys ordii (Ord's kangaroo rat). It matches the Rfam family "tRNA". Rfam says of the family: Transfer RNA (tRNA) molecules are approximately 80 nucleotides in length. Their secondary structure includes four short double-helical elements and three loops (D, anti-codon, and T loops). Further hydrogen bonds mediate the characteristic L-shaped molecular structure. tRNAs have two regions of fundamental functional importance: the anti-codon, which is responsible for specific mRNA codon recognition, and the 3' end, to which the tRNAs corresponding amino acid is attached (by aminoacyl-tRNA synthetases). tRNAs cope with the degeneracy of the genetic code in two manners: having more than one tRNA (with a specific anti-codon) for a particular amino acid; and 'wobble' base-pairing, i.e. permitting non-standard base-pairing at the 3rd anti-codon position. Lineage: Eukaryota; Metazoa; Chordata; Mammalia; Rodentia; Heteromyidae. The record is from Rfam by way of RNAcentral.